RNAcentral lists this ribosomal RNA (464 nucleotides) under uncultured Chitinophagaceae bacterium. Its description in RNAcentral is "bacterial SSU rRNA". It matches the Rfam family "Bacterial small subunit ribosomal RNA", at positions 337 to 798 of the family's 1533-position model. The record is from RNAcentral. Lineage: Bacteria; Pseudomonadati; Bacteroidota; Chitinophagia; Chitinophagales; Chitinophagaceae.
GCCUACGGGCGGCUGCAGUAAGGAAUAUUGGUCAAUGGACGAAAGUCUGAACCAGCCAUGCCGCGUGAAGGAUUAAGGCCCUCUGGGUUGUAAACUUCUUUUAUCUGGGACGAAAAAAGGGUAUUCUUACUCACUUGACGGUACCAGAGGAAUAAGCACCGGCUAACUCCGUGCCAGCAGCCGCGGUAAUACGGAGGGUGCAAGCGUUAUCCGGAUUCACUGGGUUUAAAGGGUGCGUAGGUGGAUAUUUAAGUCAGUGGUGAAAUCUCCGAGCUUAACUCGGAAACUGCCAUUGAUACUAUUUAUCUUGAAUGCCCUGGAGGUAAGCGGAAUAUGUCAUGUAGCGGUGAAAUGCUUAGAUAUGACAUAGAACACCAAUUGCGAAGGCAGCUUACUACGGGGUGAUUGACACUGAGGCACGAAAGCGUGGGGAUCAAACAGGAUUAGAUACCCCUGUAGUCGUC